GACACGCUUCUCCGCAUUGCCGGCAGCCAGCCGCGAGCUGAUGUGGCAGUGAAGCCCUACAAGUGUGGGGAGUGUGGUAGAAGCUUCGGGCGCAGCUCGUACCUGGUGCAGCACCAGCGCAUUCACACGGGUGACAGACCCUACAAGUGUGGGGACUGUGGAAAGGGGUUCGGGUCAGUGCCCACCUCACCCGGCACCAGCUCAGCCAUGCAGGUGACCAGCCCUACCGAUGUCCCCAGUGCGGAAAGACCUUUGGGGAGAGCGCAAGCUGUUGAGCCACCGGCUGAGCCAUGCGGGUGAGCGCCCCUACCAGUGCCCUGACUGCGAGAAGAGCUUCUGCAAAAGCUCCCACCUGGUCAGCCACCAUCGCACCCACACUGGAGAGCGGCCCUACCGCUGCACCAUCUGUGACAAGAGCUUCUGCCAGAGCUCCCACCUCAUCCGGCACCAGGGCACCCACCGGGUGAGCGCCCUACAAGUGCUCCGACUGUGGGAAGAGUUCACCCAGAGCUCCAACCUUGCCCAAGCACCAGCGCAUCCACACGGGCGAGCGCCCUACCAAUGCAGUGACUGUGGGAAGAGCUUCAGCUGGAGCUCCAACCUCAUAGAGCACCAGAGAACCCACCUAGCACAGAAACCCUGAACAUGGGCCGGGCCAACGUGUCUGGUUCCUGAGCAAGCUCCCAACACUGCAGUAAACAGCAUGGGGCCAGCAAGACACUUAAUAGGGGGAGAAAUUACUGAGUGUGCAAUGCCAAAGACUAGAAACCCUCCCCAGGAGUUAGACUUCUUCACACUGCCAGCGGCGGCUGCCUGCCCCAGCCUCGCCUGUUGCAAUAUCCAGGAGAUGAUCCCACUUGCCACAAGAGCUAAGGAACCUGUAAUAAGGCAAGUCUAAGGGAUCGGAAGAGCGUUGUGUAG
Molecule: long non-coding RNA, 921 nt
Organism: Chelonia mydas (Green sea turtle)
Lineage: Eukaryota; Metazoa; Chordata; Testudines; Cheloniidae
Exons: 3
Source: RefSeq, a predicted model, not a curated record